AGUGAACGCUGGCGGUAGGCCUAACACAUGCAAGUCGAACGGCAGCACAGUAAGAGCUUGCUCUUACGGGUGGCGAGUGGCGGACGGGUGAGGAAUACAUCGGAAUCUACUUUUUCGUGGGGGAUAACGUAGGGAAACUUACGCUAAUACCGCAUACGACCUACGGUUGAAAGCAGGGGAUCUUCGGACCUUGCGCGAUUGAAUGAGCCGAUGUCGGAUUAGCUAGUUGGCGGGGUAAAGGCCCACCCAGGCGACGAUCCGUAGCUGGACUGAGAGGAUGAUCAGCCACACUGGAACUGAGACACGGUCAAGACGACUAAGGGAGGCAGCAGAGGGGAAUAUUGGACAAUGGGCGCAAGCAUGAUCCAGCCAGAGCGCGUGGGUGAAGAAGGCCUUCGGGUUGUAAAGCCCGUUUGUUGGGAAAGAAAAGCAGCAGGUUAAGACCCAGCUGUUCUGACGGUACCCAAAGAAUAAGCACCGGCUAACUUCGUG
Molecule: ribosomal RNA, 492 nt
Filed under: uncultured bacterium
Lineage: Bacteria
Description: partial 16S ribosomal RNA
Rfam family: Bacterial small subunit ribosomal RNA
Source: RNAcentral